RNAcentral lists this small RNA (127 nucleotides) under Marmota monax (woodchuck). The record is from RNAcentral. Lineage: Eukaryota; Metazoa; Chordata; Mammalia; Rodentia; Sciuridae.
GCCAGGUGUGGUGGCACACACCUGUCAUCCCAGUAGCUUGGGAGGCUGAGGCAGGAGGAUCUUGAGGUGGAGGCCAGCCUCAGCAACUUUGGGAGGCCCUAAGCAACUCAACGAGACCCUGUUUCUA